AGAAUCAACGCUGGCGGCGUGCCUAACACAUGCAAGUCGCACGGGAAAGGGGAGCAAUCCCUGAGUAAAGUGGCGCACGGGUGAGUAACACGUGAAUAAUCUACCUCCGAGUGGGGAAUAACUGAGAGAAAUCUUAGCUAAUACCGCAUAACACUUACGAGUCAAAGCAGCAAUGCGCUUGGAGAGGAGUUCGCGGCCGAUUAGUUAGUUGGCGGGGUAAUGGCCCACCAAGACGAUGAUCGGUA
Molecule: ribosomal RNA, 245 nt
Filed under: uncultured bacterium
Lineage: Bacteria
Description: partial small subunit ribosomal RNA
Rfam family: Bacterial small subunit ribosomal RNA
Source: RNAcentral